UACGAAGGGAGCUAGCGUUGUUCGGAAUCACUGGGCGUAAAGCGCGCGCAGGCGGUCUUUUAAGUCAGAUGUGAAAUCCCCGGGCUUAACCUGGGAACUGCGUUUGAAACUGGAAGGCUAGAGUGUGGCAGAGGGGGGUGGAAUUCCACGUGUAGCAGUGAAAUGCGUAGAGAUGUGGAGGAACACCGAUGGCGAAGGCAGCCCCCUGGGCUAACACUGACGCUCAUGCACGAAAGCGUGGGGAGCAAACAGG
RNAcentral lists this ribosomal RNA (253 nucleotides) under uncultured bacterium. Its description in RNAcentral is "partial 16S ribosomal RNA". It matches the Rfam family "Bacterial small subunit ribosomal RNA", at positions 524 to 776 of the family's 1533-position model. The record is from RNAcentral.